CUAUGGCGAAUAAAAUUCGAGGGGGAAGGGNGAUAAUGUCUUUGGCUGCCUAUNUGUCUUGACCAAAUUACGUGCCAGCAGUCGCGGUAAUACGUAGAAGACUAGUGUUAUUCAUGUUUAAUCGGUUUAAAGGGUACCUAGACGGUAGAUCAAGCUUUUUCAUAUAAAUUAUGAUAAUUAAAGGGACUAAUUUACUAGAGUUACUUACGAGGGGGUAUUAAAGUACUGCUGGUGUAGAGAUGAAAUUCUGUCAUACCUCUUUUCGAAAGAAAAAUCAUGGCACAGGUAUAGGCGAAGGCAUCCCCUUAUGUGAUAACUGACGUUGAGGGACGAAGGCUUUGUGUAACAAACAGGAUUAGAUACCCUAGUAGUUGAAGCAGAAAAUGAUGAAUGUCAUAGAUUAGAUAUAUAAGUUUAUUCUAUAAAUGAAAGUGUAAGCAUUCCACCUCAUGAGUAAUUUGGCAACAUUGGAAUUGAAAUCAUUAGACCGUUUCUGAAACCAGUAGUGAAGUAUGUUGUUUAAUUUGAUAGUCCGCAAAAAACCUUACCACAAUUUGAAUAUUUAUAUUUUUUUUUU
Molecule: ribosomal RNA, 577 nt
Filed under: Punctelia rudecta
Lineage: Eukaryota; Fungi; Ascomycota; Lecanoromycetes; Lecanorales; Parmeliaceae
Description: partial small subunit ribosomal RNA
Rfam family: Bacterial small subunit ribosomal RNA
Source: RNAcentral